AUUUUUUAACACAGAUGUCAACACUUCAUAGUUACUUGGUGGCAUGACUUUUCAUUUCACUCUUUCUUUCUUAUAAAAGUAGGAAGUGAAAAGCAAGCUAGAUCCAGGAUGGCACAGGAAGUGUUUGAGUGAAUUAUUGCAUACCAAGAUAAAGAUAUUAUCUUUUAACUCAUUCAUAUUUAACACUUUAUAGAUAUGUAGAGACUACCUACAAGGAAUAUGAAUAUAUUAACUGUAGAACUCAAUCAAAUGAUGAUUAUAAAUUGUUUUAACAAUUAUUUCUUUAAAAGCUUUUUGAGUCUUUUGAUUUGGUACAAAUUAACACUUUUAACACUUUUGAUCUGAGUUACUUAAGAUAGUUUUAAAGGUUUUGUCUUUUCAUAUCGUGUUAACAUUUGUGAAUUCAUUUAGUCCACUGAAAAGUAUUAAAUUAAGUCAACUUAACUUAGGCAACUGGGGUUUUUCAUCUAACACUAACAUUUCAUGCUUUCCUUAAGAGUCAUAUUAAGAAAACUAAAUUAUUUCUGUUUUAGUCAGCUUUUUUGAAGCUGCAACUAAAAGUUUAUUUGGUGGCUCAUGAUUUUAGAGGUCUCAGUCCAUGGGCACCCAGCUCAUUCUUCAGGUAUCCAGGUGAGGCAAAAGAGCAUUGCAGAAGAAUGUGGCAGAGGGAGAUGGGUCACAAGAUGAUCAGAAGGCAGAGACAAACUCCACUUGCCAGAUUUUA
RNAcentral lists this long non-coding RNA (724 nucleotides) under Marmota monax (woodchuck). The record is from RNAcentral. Lineage: Eukaryota; Metazoa; Chordata; Mammalia; Rodentia; Sciuridae.